RNAcentral lists this ribosomal RNA (462 nucleotides) under uncultured bacterium. RNAcentral describes it as "bacterial SSU rRNA". It matches the Rfam family "Bacterial small subunit ribosomal RNA", at positions 923 to 1379 of the family's 1533-position model. The record is from RNAcentral.
GCACAAGCGGUGGAGCAUGUGGCUUAAUUCGAUGCAACGCGAAGAACCUUACCUAGGCUUGACAUGCAGGGAAAUCUCAUAGAGAUAUGAGGUCCGCAAGGGCCUUGUACAGGUGGUGCAUGGCUGUCGUCAGCUCGUGUCGUGAGAUGUUGGGUUAAGUCCCGCAACGAGCGCAACCCUUGUUCUGUGUUGCCAGCAUGCCCUUCGGGGUGAUGGGGACUCACAGGAGACCGCCGGGGUCAACUCGGAGGAAGGUGGGGACGACGUCAAGUCAUCAUGCCCCUUAUGUCUUGGGCUGCACACGUGCUACAAUGGCAGGUACAAAGAGCUGCGAAGCCGCGAGGCGGAGCGAAUCUCAAAAAGCCUGUCUCAGUUCGGAUUGGGGUCUGCAACUCGACCCCAUGAAGUCGGAGUUGCUAGUAAUCGCAGAUCAGCAUUGCUGCGGUGAAUACGUUCCCGGGC